RNAcentral lists this ribosomal RNA (347 nucleotides) under uncultured Desulfobulbus sp. Its description in RNAcentral is "bacterial SSU rRNA". It matches the Rfam family "Bacterial small subunit ribosomal RNA", at positions 1032 to 1382 of the family's 1533-position model. Lineage: Bacteria; Pseudomonadati; Thermodesulfobacteriota; Desulfobulbia; Desulfobulbales; Desulfobulbaceae. The record is from RNAcentral.
AGACAGGUGCUGCAUGGCUGCGUCAGCUCGUGUCGUGAGAUGUGGGUUAAGUCCCGCAACGAGCGCAACCCUUGCCUUAGUUGCCAGCAGUUCGGCUGGGCACUCUAAAGGGACUGCCGGUGUUAAACCGGAGGAAGGUGGGGAUGACGUCAAGUCCUCAUGGCCUUUAUGACCAGGGCUACACACGUACUACAAUGGCCGAUACAAAGGGCAGCGACACUGCGAGGUGAAGCCAAUCCCGUAAAAUCGGUCUCAGUCCGGAUUGGAGUCUGCAACUCGACUCCAUGAAGUUGGAAUCGCUAGUAAUCGUGGAUCAGCAUGCCACGGUGAAUACGUUCCCGGGCCUU